Molecule: long non-coding RNA, 2081 nt
Organism: Neofelis nebulosa (Clouded leopard)
Lineage: Eukaryota; Metazoa; Chordata; Mammalia; Carnivora; Felidae
Exons: 4
Source: RefSeq, a predicted model, not a curated record
CUUCCAGGCUGGGCUCCGGAAGGUGCGCGCAGACGUAGUGGUUUCAAAUACCGGGCUUCCCUGAUGGACGGGGAAUAUUAUCGCAAACCUUAGGCAAAGCUGACUGAGGAGGAGGUAUGAGUCCAGCGCAGGAAGACUCAGCUCAUCAAAGUGGCCCAACAGCGAAAAUAAACUCUGUGCUGGGAGACCCAGUGACCAGUAAACUGACGAACACGAGGAAACAAGUACUGGCCAGAACCCUAACGAUGGAGCUGUGCAAAGAGAGCAGAUUGAGCUGUGCCGCGCUGCUUCUGCAGAGGGACAGCUGACCAUUGAACAUAACUCCUAGGCCGCCUUCCACCAGAUCCUGGAAAUCCCCAAGCCUGUGGGGGCGGUCCCCAUCCUCAAGGGUGGCCUUUUCUACCUGGUCCCUGCGCGGGCAGCUGACCCAAGUGCGGCCCGUCUUCCUGUUCUGGCGUGCUGGGAGAAGCAGCUUCAGCGGAGGAAGGGGGCCUGAGAAGCUGUCGCGCCAGCUGCUGGCGGCUCUCCACAACCAAGGCAGAGAUACAACUUAUGGAGGAGAAAAGUUGUUUUAAGUCACUGAAACACCCAAAGAAAAUAUAUCUGACAAUGUUACUGAGAAUCUUCAAGUUUGAAGGAAGAAGCUCUUAGCAGUGGAUGGAGAUAGGGCACAUCCCAAAUAGUGGCUAUUCCCUGAGUUCUCCUUGAAGUUCCCAGGAUAUGACCAGCAGAGCAGACUUCAAGACAAAUAGUAGCCUGGAGCCAAGCCCAGCUGAGCCCAGCAGAGCCACACCCAAUUCACAGACCUACCAUUAAGUAACCUGACCUGAUGUCUUCUCAGGAAGUAAAAUCCAAUGAGAAACUUCACAGGCUUCCCACUUCAACCAAUGCAGUAAAACCCCCUGACAAUCCUUCCUUGAGACAAACGUACAGGAAACACUCACUUGCCUUGCUAUUUACCCUGAAAUAGAUCUGAGUUAGAGUUCGGAGAAGUUGCCUCCUCUACCAGAAUAGUCUGAAGUUCUGGAUUGUAUUUCUCCAACAAGCAAACCUGAUGAGAAAUCUCCUUACUUUGAGAGAAUUUAGCAGGGAGCUCUAUCUGUUUCUACUGGGUUGAUGAAACAAAACUUCCAGCUACUUAGUAUUAAAGGCACCGAUUGCAUGUUAAAUUUCUUAUUGGACCUGUCUGAUCCUCUCUCCAGAAUGUAAGCUUAUUGCCACUUAUGCAGACUGGUCAAUGAGGCCCAGAAGCUAAUGACUGUUUCUCUGGCAAUAGCCAAUAAUUAACUAGAAUUUUUAUAAAAGCAAGGAUGAAAAGAUGUCUGGGGGGUGUGGCGCCUGGGUGGCUCAGUUGUUUAAGCUUUGGACUCUUGAUUUCACUUCAGGUCAUGAUCUUGCGGUUUGUGAGAUCGAGCCCUGCAUUGGGCUCUGCACAAGAGCCUGGAGCCUGCUUGGGAUUGUCUCACUCACCCUCUCUCUCUGUCUCUUCCCCACUCACUUGUACCCACACACACACUUUCUCUCUCUCUAAAAAUAAAUAAAUUAAAAAAAAAAGAUGUUUGUGAGAAUGAACACCGACCUACCCAGCCCACCAUCAUGUGUGGACAACAGAACGGAGGCAGUUCAGAGAAUUCAGAGUUCCUCUCUGGGACUUGUCAGGCAGGAAAGAAAAGAAACAGUGUUCCUCACACCUCAAAGCUCACAUAAAUCACCUGGGGAUUGUAUUAAAAAUGAAGAUUCUGGGGACUCCUGGGUGACUCAGUCAGUUAAGCGUUGGACUUCGGCUCAGGUCAUGAUCUCACCGCUUGUGAGUUCAAGCCCCGCAUCAGGCUCUGUGCUGACAGCUCAGAGCCUGAAGCCUGCUUCGGAUUCUGUGUCUCCCUCUCUCUCUGCCCCUCCUCCAUUCGCACUCUAUCUCCCUAUGUCUCUCAAAAAUAAGUAAACAUUAAAAAAAUAUUAAAAGAAAUGCAGAUUCUGAUUCAGAAGUUCUGGAUGGGUCCAGGAUUAAGCAUUUCUAACAAGCUUGAAGCUAAUGCAGUUGCUACUGGCUUACGGACCGCAUUUUGAAAAGCAAGGCAUGA